This 433-nucleotide ribosomal RNA is filed under the name uncultured bacterium. RNAcentral's name for it is "partial 16S ribosomal RNA". It matches the Rfam family "Bacterial small subunit ribosomal RNA", at positions 29 to 507 of the family's 1533-position model. The record is from RNAcentral.
AACGAACGCUGGCGGCAUGCCUAACACAUGCAAGUCGAACGAGACCUUCGGGUCUAGUGGCGCACGGGUGCGUAACGCGUGGGAACCUGCCCUUAGGUUCGGAAUAACUCCCCGAAAGGGGUGCUAAUACCGGAUAAUGUCUUCGGACCAAAGAUUUAUCGCCUUUGGAUGGGCCCGCGUUGGAUUAGCUAGUUGGUAGGGUAAAAGCCUACCAAGGCGACGAUCCAUAGCUGGUCUGAGAGGAUGAUCAGCCACACUGGGACUGAGACACGGCCCAGACUCCUACGGGAGGCAGCAGUGGGGAAUUUUGGACAAUGGGCGAAAGCCUGAUCCAGCAGUGCCGCGUGAGUGAUGAAGGCCUUAGGGUUGUAAAGCUCUUUUACCCGGGAUGAUAAUGACAGUACCGGGAGAAUAAGCUCCGGCUAACUCCGUG